AAGUCGACUUCCGCAAGGACAUCUGCAGAGGUGCUGCAUGGCUGUCGUCAGCUCGUGUCGUGAGAUGUUGGGUUAAGUCCCGCAACGAGCGCAACCCUUGUUCUCUGUUGCCAUCAGGUAAAGCUGGGCACUCUGAGGAGACUGCCGGUGACAAACCGGAGGAAGGUGGGGAUGACGUCAAGUCAGCAUGGCCUUUAUGUCCAGGGCUACACACACGCUACAAUGGCCGGUACAACGGGUUCCGACACGGCGACGUGAAGGCAAUCCCUUAAAGCCGGUCUCAGUUCGGAUUGUUGGCUGCAACUCGCCAGCAUGAAGUCGGAGUUGCUAGUAACCGCAGGUCAGCACACUGCGGUGAAUACGUCCCCGGGCCUUGCACUCACCGCCCGUCACAUCGCCCGAGUCUGGUGCUCCCGAAGUCGCUGGCCGAACCCGUGAGGGACGGAGGCGCCGAAGGAGUGCCCGGUGAGGGGGGUGAAGUCGUAACAAGGUAACCGU
Molecule: ribosomal RNA, 498 nt
Filed under: uncultured soil bacterium
Lineage: Bacteria
Description: bacterial SSU rRNA
Rfam family: Bacterial small subunit ribosomal RNA
Source: RNAcentral